RNAcentral lists this transfer RNA (65 nucleotides) under Dipodomys ordii (Ord's kangaroo rat). It matches the Rfam family "tRNA". From Rfam's summary of the family: Transfer RNA (tRNA) molecules are approximately 80 nucleotides in length. Their secondary structure includes four short double-helical elements and three loops (D, anti-codon, and T loops). The record is from Rfam by way of RNAcentral. Lineage: Eukaryota; Metazoa; Chordata; Mammalia; Rodentia; Heteromyidae.
GGUGGCUCAGUGGUAGAGCACUUGCCUUGCAUGCAUGAGGCCGUGGGUUCAAUUCCUCCGCACCA